This 351-nucleotide ribosomal RNA is filed under the name uncultured bacterium. RNAcentral describes it as "bacterial SSU rRNA". It matches the Rfam family "Bacterial small subunit ribosomal RNA", at positions 451 to 793 of the family's 1533-position model. The record is from RNAcentral.
GUGCGUGAGAGUAACUGUUCACGUUUCGACGGUAUCUAACCAGAAAGCCACGGCUAACUACGUGCCAGCAGCCGCGGUAAUACGUAGGUGGCAAGCGUUAUCCGGAUUUAUUGGGCGUAAAGGGAACGCAGGCGGUCUUUUAAGUCUGAUGUGAAAGCCUUCGGCUUAACCGGAGUAGUGCAUUGGAAACUGGGAGACUUGAGUGCAGAAGAGGAGAGUGGAACUCCAUGUGUAGCGGUGAAAAUGCGUAGAUAUAUGGAAGAACACCAGUGGCGAAAGCGGCUCUCUGGUCUGUAACUGACGCUGAGGUUCGAAAGCGUGGGUAGCAAACAGGAUUAGAUACCCUGGUAG